RNAcentral lists this non-coding RNA (1662 nucleotides) under Cryptosporidium parvum. Lineage: Eukaryota; Apicomplexa; Conoidasida; Eucoccidiorida; Cryptosporidiidae. The record is from RNAcentral.
GGGUCAGUAUUUGUGUUAAUUGUCUCUUGUCUCAAAUCCGAGUGAAUAUUUCCAAUAACAGGAGAUAGAUGUUGCUUAAAUAAUGAAAUUGGGUUUAAAUAUUCCAUUGUAAUGUAUAACGACUCAAAGCUUCUCCAUUUAAAUUCAAUAGACUUUGUAACUUCUUCUGAAUUUAUGCCCUUAAGUUCAUUACUGUAGAUAUUGAUCUUUAUAUUUUCAUCUGAUGGCCCCCAAACCCUCCAUGACCUGAUAGGUAGUUGAUGAGGCCAUCUUGUUCCUCCAAAGUAUUGAAAUCCUAACCUUGAGUCGAACUUAUUAGAAUGGCCAUUGCGAAUAUAAUCAACAGCAUAUGCCUUUAUUCCAUGAAUGCUCCCUAACGUAGUUCCAAUUACCCAAGUAUCUUUGGAUUUAUUAAUUACUAUCCCUCGAUACAACACGUAUCCAGGGUGAUUUUUCUUCUUAUUUCUUUUUUGUCUAAAGAAAGGGAAUCCUAGAUAUUCUCCCAAAUGAAAAUAAUCUCCAUUGAUAUCAUCAGUGCCUCCAUUUAUUACCAUUUUAACAUGUUUUGGUUUGAUACCUAUAAUUCUGACAAAAACUUUUUCUUCAACAAAAUUACUAUUUGGAAUAUUAUGCACAUAUUUCUUUUUAAAUGGGGGUUUCAAAAAUGCCCAACCAUCAGGCUCUAAUUCCAUCCCUCUUUCAGCAGGCCAAUCAACUUCGGAUUUAAUUCUUGAAUUGCUUGGCCUUCUCCAAAUAGCCAAAAUUUGGCUGGGGCUAGUAUUUCCCAAUUGCCUUGAAAUAAUCCACGAUAUGGCAUUUGACUCAUUAACAAAUGACCAAAGGUACAGACUAUUUCCAGGGUAUUCUACUAUUGAACUUUGUAAGCUAACGUCCUCACUUCUUAAGGGCCCCCUUUGUACAAAGUAUGGCCUACUCUUAAAAAAUCCCUCCCAACUAUAUAAGGCAUUAGAGAAGUAUCCAUUCGCACCAUUAAUUAUAAUAUCUAAAGUUCCCCGUGAAGGUGGUAUACAUGAAGAAAUUUUGUAUUUUGUUAAUCCGCUAAAUUUACUUAAAUGAGGAUUGGGACAACCCGGAAAUACUUGUAAAUCGUCGGGUGAUUCAACUAAAGGAAUAUGUUCAAGAAUAAUUGAUUCCUUAGGUAUAAAAGUAAAUGGUCUUGCUUCUUCAACAAUCAAAUCCUUAUCAAAAACCAAUACACGCUUAGACUCCAUUUCUUUAGGUAUUGUAACAGGUAAUGGAUUCCUCAAGGGGGUGCUAGGAUCUAGUUCGACGUAUGGAACUAUAUCAUGAGCACUAAACUUUCUUGGCUGAACAUACCAUCCUCUAGUGUAUGCAGGGGAGUAUGGCCUUCCAAUUAUUUCUGCAUAAAUUUGUCCAACUGAUAUUUUUGGGUUAUUAAUUGGCCAAGUAUCUCCAAUACACCAUCUUUCUAUGGGGAAAUUUAAAAAAAAUAUGUACAAGCUUGGCUCAGGAUAAAUUCUUCUAUAAACUGGCCUAAUAAUUGGCUCAACAUACCAAGGAAACCUUUCAUCACUUUGAGACAAUUGCAUUGAUUCUUCUCUCUUAUAUAUUCCAUGUAAUGCAGCAUUAUAUGAGGAACUACGGACUUCAAUAAAUAGUGGAGUAUAUCUUGCAUAUGGA